Molecule: ribosomal RNA, 465 nt
Filed under: uncultured bacterium
Lineage: Bacteria
Description: partial 16S ribosomal RNA
Rfam family: Bacterial small subunit ribosomal RNA
Source: RNAcentral
CCUACGGGGCUCAGCAGUGGGGAAUAUUGCGCAAUGGGCGAAAGCCUGACGCAGCGACGCCGCGUGAGGGAUGCAGGUCUUCGGAUCGUACACCUCUGUCAGCAGGGAAGAACGGUCACUGUGCUAAUCAGCAGUGAAUUGACGGUACCUGCAAAGGAAGCACCGGCUAACGCCGUGCCAGCAGCCGCGGUAAUACGGAGGGUGCGAGCGUUAAUCUGAAUUACUGGGCGGAAAGCGCACGUAGGCGGUCUGUCAAGUCAAGGGUGAAAUCCCCGCGAUCAACUUGGGAACUGCCUUUGAAACUGGUAAACUGGAGUGUGUGAGAGGAUAGUGGAAUUCCAGGUGUAGGAGUGAAAUCCGUAGAUAUCUGGAGGAACAUCAGUGGCGAAGGCGACUAUCUGGCACAUAACUGACGCUGAGGAGUGAAAGCGUGGGUAGCAAACAGGAUUAGAUACCCUAGUAGUC